AACGAACGCUGGCGGCAUGCCUAACACAUGCAAGUCGAACGAGACCUUCGGGUCUAGUGGCGCACGGGUGCGUAACGCGUGGGAACCUGCCCUUAGGUUCGGAAUAACUCCCCGAAAGGGGUGCUAAUACCGGAUAAUGUCCUCGGACCAAAGAUUUAUCGCCUUUGGAUGGGCCCGCGUUGGAUUAGCUAGUUGGUAGGGUAAAAGCCUACCAAGGCGACGAUCCAUAGCUGGUCUGAGAGGAUGAUCAGCCACACUGGGACUGAGACACGGCCCAGACUCCUACGGGAGGCAGCAGUGGGGAAUAUUGGACAAUGGGCGAAAGCCUGAUCCAGCAAUGCCGCGUGAGUGAUGAAGGCCUUAGGGUUGUAAAGCUCUUUUACCCGGGAUGAUAAUGACAGUACCGGGAGAAUAAGCGCCGGCUAACUCCGUG
This 433-nucleotide ribosomal RNA is filed under the name uncultured bacterium. RNAcentral's name for it is "partial 16S ribosomal RNA". It matches the Rfam family "Bacterial small subunit ribosomal RNA", at positions 29 to 507 of the family's 1533-position model. The record is from RNAcentral.